GACGAACGCUGGCGGCGUGCUUAACACAUGCAAGUCGAACGGUAAGGCCCUUCGGGUACGACGAGUGGCGAACGGGUGGAGUAACACGUGGGUGAUCUGCCCUGCACUUCGGGAUAAGCCUGGGAAACUGGGUCUAAUACCGGAUAGGACCAUGGACUUCACGGUUUGUGGUGGAAAGCUUUUGCGGUGUGGGAUGGGCCCGCGGCCUAUCAGCUUGUUGGUGGGGUAAUGGCCUACCAAGGCGACGACGGGUAGCCGGCCUGAGAGGGUGUCCGGCCACACUGGGACUGAGAUACGGCCCAGACUCCUACGGGAGGCAGCAGUGGGGAAUAUUGCACAAUGGGCGCAAGCCUGAUGCAGCGACGCCGCGUGA
RNAcentral lists this ribosomal RNA (373 nucleotides) under uncultured bacterium. Its description in RNAcentral is "bacterial SSU rRNA". It matches the Rfam family "Bacterial small subunit ribosomal RNA", at positions 28 to 404 of the family's 1533-position model. The record is from RNAcentral.